CACCACAAUCGUUUUCUGAAUCAACACAAACACAAUUUUUCAUCAUCAUUUCCGCACAAUGUUUUAACCCAGAACCAGCAACCAAAAUCCAACAACAAACCACCACAACCAUCGAACCAAGAUCCAAAGUAAAAGAGAUUGCCUCCGAAAAUUGGUGUUGGAAUCUCUAUUGGAACGCAAAGCACUAAAUCGAACUCGUUUGUAGAAAGGUAUCGUGAAGAAGAAAAACCCAGAAUGCGUGAAGAAGAAAAGAUGGAGGCAGGGGUAAAAUGGUCAUUGCGCGCGAUUCCAGACUCAUUAAGGGUAAAAAUGUCAUUUCCCUCGCCAUCAGCUGACGUGUCCUGACAAAACUCCAUUCACCAAAUGCCACGUAUCUAAUUACCCUCCACCUCAACAAAUUUUUGUAAUUAGGACGAAUUUUAAAAUGAUUAGUAAUUGCAGGGGCAAAAUGGGAGGAUUAGUAAGCUCAGGGAUGAAAAACCAAAUGGCCUAUAAUUACAGGGAUGAAAAGCAUAUUUAAGCCUUUAAAUCAAAACAUGUUAUUAUAUUUCCUCUGCUCAUUCUGUCAACAAAAUUGCUUUGUCCAUUUGCCAUUUACCUCGACAAUCCAGACUCGCAGCAUUACUAUGCAAAUUAAAUUUGAGUGGAUACCUGCAGCUUUCUUUAUUAUUUUUCUAAUUAGAUCACCAUGACAUUGUAGGCGUGCGUUUGCACAUCCACAAACAGAUUAGUAUAUAUAGUAUAUACAGAAUAGUAUAUGUUCCUGACAUAAUUGAAUAUAUCGAUUCCAUUUUACAAAAUUCUGUUAUGGCAUAUAAAACUGGAUUGGUUCUUGGCUUUCUAUAUGCACAACGAGUGAAUUACGUUGAAGAAAGUUAUGUUGAUUCUCAUAUCAAAAUGGAAUGGAUUAAAAAAAUU
Molecule: long non-coding RNA, 918 nt
Organism: Medicago truncatula (barrel medic)
Lineage: Eukaryota; Viridiplantae; Streptophyta; Magnoliopsida; Fabales; Fabaceae
Exons: 3
Source: RefSeq, a predicted model, not a curated record